RNAcentral lists this long non-coding RNA (238 nucleotides) under Sorghum bicolor (sorghum). RNAcentral describes it as "long non-coding RNA (SBIC_LNC002690)". The record is from RNAcentral. Lineage: Eukaryota; Viridiplantae; Streptophyta; Magnoliopsida; Poales; Poaceae.
CCAACACCUCAGGAUAUGAUAAUGAAGAUGACUGGAAUGAGGACUAUCGUUAUGAGUACUAGGUUUGGAGUCAACCAGUCAGCAGUGCCCUGUAUGGAGCUUCCGUUGAGAGCGUUGUUUACUUUAUGCUAUCAUUUUUGUAUGAGACUAUGUGAUAUAUUAUAUUCCGCUAUGUAAUGAACACUGCAAUGGUAUAUUUGAGAUUUGUCUACUUAUGUGUGCGACUAUUCCUGGGGCA